CUAUCAUGCAGUCGAGCGGACAGAUGGGAGCUUGCUCCCUGAUGUUAGCGGCGGACGGGUGAGUAACACGUGGGUAACCUGCCUGUAAGACUGGGAUAACUCCGGGAAACCGGGGCUAAUACCGGAUGCUUGUUUGAACCGCAUGGUUCAAACAUAAAAGGUGGCUUCGGCUACCACUUACAGAUGGACCCGCGGCGCAUUAGCUAGUUGGUGAGGUAAYGGCUCACCAAGGCAACGAUGCGUAGCCGACCUGAGAGGGUGAUCGGCCACACUGGGACUGAGACACGGCCCAGACUCCUACGGGAGGCAGCAGUAGGGAAUCUUCCGCAAUGGACGAAAGUCUGACGGAGCAACGCCGCGUGAGUGAUGAAGGUUUUCGGAUCGUAAAGCUCUGUUGUUAGGGAAGAACAAGUGCCGUUCAAAUAGGGCGGCACCUUGACGGUACCUAACCAGAAAGCCACGGCUAACUACGUGCCAGCAGCCGCGGUAAUACGUAGGUGGCAAGCGUUGUCCGGAAUUAUUGGGCGUAAAGGGCUCGCAGGCGGUUUCUUAAGUCUGAUGUGAAAGCCCCCGGCUCAACCGGGGAGGGUCAUUGGAAACUGGGGAACUUGAGUGCAGAAGAGGAGAGUGGAAUUCCACGUGUAGCGGUGAAAUGCGUAGAGAUGUGGAGGAACACCAGUGGCGAAGGCGACUCUCUGGUCUGUAACUGACGCUGAGGAGCGAAAGCGUGGGG
RNAcentral lists this ribosomal RNA (733 nucleotides) under Bacillus sp. P5. Its description in RNAcentral is "bacterial SSU rRNA". It matches the Rfam family "Bacterial small subunit ribosomal RNA", at positions 50 to 766 of the family's 1533-position model. The record is from RNAcentral. Lineage: Bacteria; Bacillati; Bacillota; Bacilli; Caryophanales; Bacillaceae.